This is a non-coding RNA of Dermacentor albipictus, 473 nucleotides long. The record is from RefSeq and is a predicted model, not a curated record. Lineage: Eukaryota; Metazoa; Arthropoda; Arachnida; Ixodida; Ixodidae.
AGUGCGUUCAUAAGGAGGCUGUCAGUUGCAAGGAAGGUCGGGAAGAACCGGGCGAGAAAAAGUGCAGCUUUAGUUGUGUCGCCAGCACCCCGAGCAACUUGCACAAAUGAUAAUGCCACUUCUGAACUGCAGGCCCUAAGCUCCUCAAGUAUGACUGGUGCAUCACUUGACAUGGAAAGAAUAAGAACCCUGCUCACGGUGACGCUCCCAGACUGCUGCUAUAGACACAUGGAGCCUCUCCCACAGUACUUGUUGGUGGAGGAAAUAGGAAGAUGACAUUGCCAGCUGAUGAGCUCCAAGUAACAGCACCUCACAUUUACGGCGGUCUAGACAAGAUAUGUAUUUUUGCUGGCAGCCAAGCUGAAGUCAUCAUUCUCUCCACGUCUGGAUUACAACGGGCACUUAUUUUUUGCCUUUUGAGAUAUUAUCUUAGGAACCUAGAAUAUCCAUUAGCAUUUUACCAAAUGCUUGCU